RNAcentral lists this ribosomal RNA (248 nucleotides) under uncultured Eubacterium sp. RNAcentral's name for it is "partial 16S ribosomal RNA". It matches the Rfam family "Bacterial small subunit ribosomal RNA", at positions 524 to 771 of the family's 1533-position model. Lineage: Bacteria; Bacillati; Bacillota; Clostridia; Eubacteriales; Eubacteriaceae. The record is from RNAcentral.
UACGUAGGUGACAAGCGUUGUCCGGAUUUACUGGGUGUAAAGGGUGCGCAGGUGGCAGGGCAAGUCAGAUGUGAAAGCCCGGGGCUCAACCCCGGUAUUGCAUUUGAAACUGUCCGGCUAGAGUGCAGGAGAGGUAAGCGGAAUUCCUAGUGUAGCGGUGAAAUGCGUAGAUAUUAGGAGGAACACCAGUGGCGAAGGCGGCUUACUGGACUGUAACUGACGCUGAGGCGCGAAAGCGUGGGGAGCAA